GUAGGGAAUCUUCCACAAUGGACGAUAGUCUGAUGGAGCAACGCCGCGUGAGUGAAGAAGUUUUUCUGCUCGUAAUCCUCUGUUGUUAAAGAAGAACUUAUCUGAGAGUCACUGUUCAGGUGUCGGCGGUCUUUCACCAGAAAGCCACGGAUAACUACCCGCCAGCAGCCGUGGUAAUAUGUAGGUCGGCAAGUGUUGUCCGUUUUUAUUGGGAGUAAAGCGGGCGCGGGUUUUUUUUUAUUUUUGAUGAGAACGCUCUUCGGCUCAGCCGAAGAAGCGUCAUGGGAAAGUGGGAAAUGGGAGAGGAGAAGGGGACAGUGGAACCCCAUGUGGAGCGGUGAAAUGUGGAGAUAUAGAAAAGCACCCCAGGGGAGGAGGGGUGUGUCUUGUGUGAAAGUGGCGGUGGGGCUAGAGCGUGGGGGGCGAACACAAGAUUAGAUCCCC
RNAcentral lists this ribosomal RNA (444 nucleotides) under Lactiplantibacillus plantarum. RNAcentral describes it as "Lactobacillus plantarum partial 16S ribosomal RNA". It matches the Rfam family "Bacterial small subunit ribosomal RNA", at positions 354 to 787 of the family's 1533-position model. The record is from RNAcentral. Lineage: Bacteria; Bacillati; Bacillota; Bacilli; Lactobacillales; Lactobacillaceae.